RNAcentral lists this unclassified non-coding RNA (1294 nucleotides) under Haliotis rubra (blacklip abalone). RNAcentral describes it as "uncharacterized LOC124264512, transcript variant X1". Lineage: Eukaryota; Metazoa; Mollusca; Gastropoda; Lepetellida; Haliotidae. The record is from RNAcentral.
GUAGGCUUCCGCAUGGUCUCGGGGAUGUAGCGGGAGAAAAUUUCCUUUCUACACACUUAAAUUAGGCCAAACUUAUACCGACCAUUGAUCGUUCACCCGUUGUCAGCAUACUUGAUCUUGAUGAGAAGAAUAAAGUUAACACAAUUCUAAUGUCUUAACUGCUGAUAUGUCUCUUCCGUGGUGACACAGUAUUGGAUACGAGUUCGUAACGAGUGAAUGACUCCACCGGGCUGAUGUGUUACUUCCGUCUGUCUCGGCCGAAACAAGUCAUAUCAUGCUACACAUAGGUUAAUGGCCCGGCCGUCAGUCAUCUGGAGAGACGUGUAAAAUGAACACAAACUCCACUCCAUCGUUGAAGCGUCACACAUAAACAUAUCAAAGGGACAUUGCUAUUAUCUCUGAAACUAGCAAUGGUCAUAAUGACGGUCCUCGCCCUCACGACACUGUCCAGUGUUCACGCAACUUCUCCCAAUGUUCGGGUCAAGAGAAGGCCUGUAGAUCAACCACAUAAAGGAAUGUGCUCCAACUUCUGGUGGGGUGGAAUUUCUAAGGUCCACUUUUACACCUGCUGUAACAACCUGGAUGAAGGUCCUUAUCCCUAUUGCGAUGGUCGUACCUAUCACAGAGCAUCUAAUGGAUCCUACUGUAAGCCUGGUGGGUUUGACGGCGGGAAUGGUGAACAACAUGAAUCUUACCGUUGUGGAGGAUGUGACGGACAGGCCCGAGUAGCUGAGAAAUGUAGCCCAUGGCCUUCACUGGAUGUUGUAGGAACAUGCUGGGUGUUCACUAAGUGCUUCACAGACUUCUGCGAAAAGCGGUACCGAGUGAAUGGGUUAAACCUUGUAGUAAGGGAUGGGCCAGGAAUGCCAGACACCUGCUACAACGGAAAAUGUGAUGUCGAAGAAACUACAGACAACUGCCCAGUCGACUGCUGCUACAAGAAAAACAAACAGUGUACCUGGGGUAACAAAUGUACGCAGCUAUUUUGUUCCACCCCGUCUUGUGGGGUGGGAUGGAGUGGAGGUGAUGGUGUGUUUACAGCUGGGACAUAUGGCAUUAAGAUCCUGGCUGCCGCUGUGCUAGUGCUGGGUGUCUUCAUUGUUUAUUUUUUCAGAAGGAAGAGGCAAUACAAGCUGGCACAGUCACACAAUGUUUAAAACAGAUUUUCUCUUGUUGAAUCUAUGAUAAAUGUACGCUGAUAGAUUUCUAACAAUUUGUAAAUAUGUUGCUUUCAACAAUAACUUUAAUUUAUAUUCACAACGAUCGCUUCGGUAACAUGAAGUGAUAUAUAACA